CCGAGUGUAGCUCAAUUUGUAGAGCGAUAGACUGUAGUGUUCUAUACUGUGUUUCAGGUAUUCUCGGAAAUCAAUUGGGCGCUGGUUCAAUUCUCGCCCACUCGGA
Phytophthora infestans T30-4 is the source of this 106-nucleotide non-coding RNA. The record is from the annotation of a RefSeq genome assembly. Lineage: Eukaryota; Oomycota; Peronosporomycetes; Peronosporales; Peronosporaceae.